Molecule: ribosomal RNA, 460 nt
Filed under: uncultured bacterium
Lineage: Bacteria
Description: partial 16S ribosomal RNA
Rfam family: Bacterial small subunit ribosomal RNA
Source: RNAcentral
CCUACGGGUGGCUGCAGUGAGGAAUAUUGGUCAAUGGACGAGAGUCUGAACCAGCCAAGUAGCGUGAAGGAUGACUGCCCUAUGGGUUGUAAACUUCUUUUAUAUGGGAAUAAAAUGCUCCACGUGUGGGAUUUUGUAUGUACCGUAUGAAUAAGGAUCGGCUAACUCCGUGCCAGCAGCCGCGGUAAUACGGAGGAUCCGAGCGUUAUCCGGAUUUAUUGGGUUUAAAGGGAGCGUAGGUGGAUUGUUAAGUCAGUUGUGAAAGUUUGCGGCUCAACCGUAAAAUUGCAGUUGAAACUGGCAGUCUUGAGUACGGUAGAGGUAGGCGGAAUUCGUGGUGUAGCGGUGAAAUGCUUAGAUAUCACGAAGAACUCCGAUUGCGAAGGCAGUUCACUGGACUGCAACUGACGCUGAGGCUCGAAAGUGUGGGUAUCAAACAGGAUUAGAUACCCGAGUAGUC